This 253-nucleotide ribosomal RNA is filed under the name uncultured bacterium. RNAcentral describes it as "partial 16S ribosomal RNA". It matches the Rfam family "Bacterial small subunit ribosomal RNA", at positions 524 to 776 of the family's 1533-position model. The record is from RNAcentral.
UACGUAGGGGGCUAGCGUUGUCCGGAAUCAUUGGGCGUAAAGCGCGUGUAGGCGGUCCGGUAAGUCCGCUGUGAAAGUCGGGGGCUCAACCCUCGGAUGCCGGUGGAUACUGUCGGGCUUGAGUACGGAAGAGGCGAGUGGAAUUCCUGGUGUAGCGGUGGAAUGCGCAGAUAUCAGGAGGAACACCGAUAGCGAAGGCAGCUCGCUGGGACGGUACUGACGCUGAGGUGCGAAAGCGUGGGGAGCAAACGGG